AUGUUCUUCAGCAACAAGAAUCAGCAGCAGGCUGAAACGCCUGCCUUCCACGAUGGUACUGGGGAAAGUGAUCCGACGGAGAGAUGGAGCCCGCGCUCCACCGAGACAUCGACCAACCGCUUCGACAUCGAGCAUCAUUUUACCUUCGCCUGCAAGUGACUAGUACUUACUACUACGGCCAUCAGGGCAGGUACAACGGGGCGUCGACUCCCGUCGACAUGCAGCUCCUUUUUGCAAAAAACCCCCCGACGGAGAGGAGAGACGGCACGGCCGUCGGCUCGUUCGUCGACGGCACUCGCGCGUGGUCCGAGGCGAGACGACGAGUUGCCGAGGCGUUGUAGGAGUUGCUGCAGUUCGGCGACGGGGGCAUGGAUCCGCUGUGCGCGCGCUCGUGGGAAUUCGUUUUGCCGCCAAAAAUCAGGCGGCGCGAGAUUUGCUCAAGGCGGAUGCAACUCGGGAGCGGCAGGCUGCGGCGGCGUACUCGCGGAAGGCCCAGGGGGCAUCUGCAUCGACGGACUCACGGCGCCAUCAGGGGGAUCUACGGCGGUGGCCAAGAAGCAGACGAGCUCAAGCAGAGUGGCGGAGCAAAGGAUUUCGGCGCCGCCGCGGACUGCAGGUGGAUGAGGCUCGGAUGCGCAAGGCAGCUGCGGCGCAAUCGCGGAAGGAUGCGGCAGCGCCGAUGCGGAAGGCACAGGGAAGAGCUCGAAUGGAUGAUGUCUGAUUCUCCCCACCAGUGCGGAAGGUGCCCUGUGUCCUUUUGCCGUCUGAUUUCAUUUGAAUUUGAUUGAUUUCUCGUGGUGGUGCCAAUGAUUUAUGCAGAUAGUACAUGAAUUUUGGCUGUGGAUUUUUGCAAUCAUGGAGUUGCAGGAUAGCUUUCCUAUUUCCCAUUUGAUUUCGUGAAGCAGCACACUAGGGUGUGGAAAUCCAAGCCUGUGUCGAUAAACUAGAAGAAAUUGAUCCAACGGAGGUAUAUACAUUUGAUGACUUUAUUGCCAAGGAUGAAAAACUAGAAGCCUUGAUUGGCGACAAAUUGAAGGCCAAUAUUAUACAUGCUUGUUGUAAGAGUCAUGCGAAUUAUUUGAAUGUAUUGUGCAUUUUCUCAUGUAUGUAACAAAAUAGCUACAAAGAUCAAGUAUGCACUAGAUCACAUGAGUUUGUGUGUUAAAGGAAGAAUUAAUCAUUCUGCAGCCAGCUAAAUAGACAGCUCGUUGUACAAGCUGUCUGUUCAACUGUUUGUUUGUGACAAAAAGACAGCAGCUGUCUGUACUGUUGUAUA
Molecule: long non-coding RNA, 1276 nt
Organism: Panicum virgatum (switchgrass)
Lineage: Eukaryota; Viridiplantae; Streptophyta; Magnoliopsida; Poales; Poaceae
Exons: 3
Source: RefSeq, a predicted model, not a curated record